RNAcentral lists this ribosomal RNA (544 nucleotides) under Escherichia coli. RNAcentral describes it as "partial 23S ribosomal RNA". It matches the Rfam family "Bacterial large subunit ribosomal RNA", at positions 2259 to 2802 of the family's 2925-position model. Lineage: Bacteria; Pseudomonadati; Pseudomonadota; Gammaproteobacteria; Enterobacterales; Enterobacteriaceae. RNAcentral also lists the same sequence under 1 other name. The record is from RNAcentral.
UGGUGGGUAGUUUGACUGGGGCGGUCUCCUCCUAAAGAGUAACGGAGGAGCACGAAGGUUGGCUAAUCCUGGUCGGACAUCAGGAGGUUAGUGCAAUGGCAUAAGCCAGCUUGACUGCGAGCGUGACGGCGCGAGCAGGUGCGAAAGCAGGUCAUAGUGAUCCGGUGGUUCUGAAUGGAAGGGCCAUCGCUCAACGGAUAAAAGGUACUCCGGGGAUAACAGGCUGAUACCGCCCAAGAGUUCAUAUCGACGGCGGUGUUUGGCACCUCGAUGUCGGCUCAUCACAUCCUGGGGCUGAAGUAGGUCCCAAGGGUAUGGCUGUUCGCCAUUUAAAGUGGUACGCGAGCUGGGUUUAGAACGUCGUGAGACAGUUCGGUCCCUAUCUGCCGUGGGCGCUGGAGAAUUGAGGGGGGCUGCUCCUAGUACGAGAGGACCGGAGUGGACGCAUCACUGGUGUUCGGGUUGUCAUGCCAAUGGCACUGCCCGGUAGCUAAAUGCGGAAGAGAUAAGUGCUGAAAGCAUCUAAGCACGAAACUUGCCCCGA